UACGUAGGGUGCAAGCGUUGUCCGGAAUUAUUGGGCGUAAAGAGCUCGUAGGCGGUUUGUCGCGUCGACUGUGAAAACCCGAGGCUUAACCUCGGGCCUGCAGUCGAUACGGGCAGACUAGAGUUCGGUAGGGGAGACUGGAAUUCCUGGUGUAGCGAUGAAAUGCGUAGAUAUGCCAUAGAACACCAAUUGCGAAGGCAGCUGGCUAGACCUGGAUUGACGCUGAGGCACGAAAGCGUGGGGAGCGAACAGG
RNAcentral lists this ribosomal RNA (253 nucleotides) under uncultured bacterium. RNAcentral describes it as "partial 16S ribosomal RNA". It matches the Rfam family "Bacterial small subunit ribosomal RNA", at positions 524 to 776 of the family's 1533-position model. The record is from RNAcentral.